Molecule: non-coding RNA, 80 nt
Filed under: uncultured Bacteroides sp.
Lineage: Bacteria; Pseudomonadati; Bacteroidota; Bacteroidia; Bacteroidales; Bacteroidaceae
Source: RNAcentral
UAAGGGGUGCCCUAAUAUGACGGGCUGAGACCAUACCCAUUGACCUGAUUCGGGUAGUGCCGACGUAGGGAAAAGAAGAA